CACUAGCGCGGUGGUCCCACCUGACCCCAUGCCGAACUCAGAAGUGAAACGCCGUAGCGCCGAUGGUAGUGUGGGGUCUCCCCAUGUGAGAGUAGGGAACUGCCAGGC
This 108-nucleotide ribosomal RNA is filed under the name Klebsiella pneumoniae. RNAcentral also lists the same sequence under 16 other names. Lineage: Bacteria; Pseudomonadati; Pseudomonadota; Gammaproteobacteria; Enterobacterales; Enterobacteriaceae. The record is from RNAcentral.